RNAcentral lists this ribosomal RNA (1405 nucleotides) under uncultured fungus. RNAcentral's name for it is "eukaryotic LSU rRNA". The stretch from base 774 to 1405 matches the Rfam family "Eukaryotic large subunit ribosomal RNA", at positions 1 to 649 of the family's 3401-position model. The record is from RNAcentral. Lineage: Eukaryota; Fungi.
AAGUCGUAACAAGGUUUCCGUAGGUAGUCACACCGCCCAAGGUUUGCCUCCGGAUCCCCCGCGGCGACUCUAAAUAACCGCGCAGCCGCGCGCCACGGCGCCCGGCGACGUAGUCACUGUGGCCUGGAAGAUGCCCAGCGGACCCCCCGUUGGAUAGCGACCAGCAGCUCCUGCCCCGGGAGUUCACAGAUCAAAUGCCUGCGGCCGCUUCUCUUGCGGUUCUGAUAUGACCGAGCCCCGCCUGAAUAGGCGAGGAGCACCUGGAACCUGCGGAAGGAUCAUUACCGAGAGACGGGGUCUAACCGGCCCCAACUCUUCACCCGCGUAUACCAACCUCAAUGUUGCUUUGGCGGGCCAUCGAAGUCCCUUCGUGGGAGGCUAAGGUCUCUCUGUGCCCGCCGGAAGCCCCAACCAACUCUGUUAUCAGUGUCGUCCGAGUAAAUAUACAAUAACUAAAACUUUCAACAACGGAUCUCUUGGUUCCAGCAUCGAUGAAGAACGCAGCGAAAUGCGAAAAGUAAUGUGAAUUGCAGAAUUCCGUGAAUCAUCGAAUCUUUGAACGCACAUUGCGCCCCUUGGUAUUCCGAGGGGCAUGCCUGUUCGAGCGUCAUUGCAACCCUCAAGCACUGCUUGGUAUUGGGCCUCGCCCCCCGGGGCGUGCCUGGAUUAUAGUGGCGGCCCAGUGAGACCCCGAGCGUAGCAAGAUUUUACAUCCCGCUCCGGUAGUGUCCCGCUGUGUGCCCGCCAGACAACCCCACAUGUUUAUCAACGAUUGACCUCGGAUCAGGUAGGGAUACCCGCUGAACUUAAGCAUAUCAAUAAGCGGAGGAAAAGAAACCAACAGGGAUUGCCUCAGUAACGGCGAGUGAAGCGGCAACAGCUCAAAUUUGAAAUCUGGCCCCUUCGGGGUCCGAGUUGUAAUUUGUAGAGGGUGUUUCGGGUGAGGCGCCGGCCUAAGUUCCUUGGAACAGGACGUCAUAGAGGGUGAGAAUCCCGUAUGCAGCCGGUGACCGACCCCAUGUGAAACCCCUUCGACGAGUCGAGUUGUUUGGGAAUGCAGCUCAAAAUGGGUGGUAAAUUUCAUCUAAAGCUAAAUACCGGCUGGAGACCGAUAGCGCACAAGUAGAGUGAUCGAAAGAUGAAAAGCACUUUGGAAAGAGAGUUAAAAAGUACGUGAAAUUGUUGAAAGGGAAGCGCUUGCAACCAGACCUGUGCCCGGGUGAUCAGCCAUCGUUCGCGGUGGUGCACUCGCCCGAUUACAGGCCAGCAUCGGUUUGGGCGGUAGGAAAAAGCUUCGGGAAUGUGGCUCCCCUCGGGGAGUGUUAUAGCCCGUCUGCGUAUGCUGCCAGCCUGGACCGAGGACCGCGCUUCGGCUAGGAUGCUGGCGUAAUGGUUGUAAGCGGCC